GGAAGUAAAAGUCGAACAAGGUUUCCGUAGGUGAACCUGCGGAAGGAUCAUUAUCGUACAAAAUGUGAGGGGUAUGCGAGGGCUGUCGCUGACCCAAAAGUCGUGCACGCCCGAGUGUGUCCUCUUGCAUAAUAAUCCAUCUCACCCUUUGUGCAUCACCGCGUGGGCACCCUUCGGGAUCAUCUCGGAGGGGGGCUCGCGUUUUCACACAAACCCCCCUUUUAAAAGUGUAGAAUGACCACAUUUAUGCAAUCAAUACAACUUUCAACAACGGAUCUCUUGGCUCUC
This 288-nucleotide unclassified non-coding RNA is filed under the name plant metagenome. RNAcentral describes it as "partial contains small subunit ribosomal RNA, internal transcribed spacer 1, and 5.8S ribosomal RNA". The stretch from base 1 to 53 matches the Rfam family "Eukaryotic small subunit ribosomal RNA", at positions 1778 to 1831 of the family's 1831-position model. The record is from RNAcentral.